ACUCCGCUCCGCAGCCGGGCCCCGAGCGAGCUCCGCGCCGCCGGCCGGGAGUCCGGGGCUCACGAGUUCAAAGGGCCGCGGCCCCGAGGGGAUGCCCUCCUCGCUGUGCCCCGGGGGGCAGAAGCGGACCGCAGGGCGGUGGGACCGGCCCGGGCCACGAUAGAAAGGUGUCCAUAACUGGGGUAGUUGACUCAAAAUAGCAAUGAUGACAACAAUAGUGUGGUAACGACCUAGAUUGAGCACUCACUAUGCAUCAGAGACCUGGCCACCCACUGUGAUUUUCUGUGAUCCUUACAGCAGCUGGAGGAGGACUGAUGGGCUAAACAGACUUAAUGCUUGGCUGUCAGCAUCCCUGUGGAAGACUCCAGCAGACCCACAUGUCCUACGGUUCAACUUUUCAAACCUACCUCUUUGUAAUUCCUAAGUAGGAGUCUGAGCUCUGUUGUCAUAUUUCAGUUUUACAGUUACUCUGAAAUAUUUUGAUCCAAAUAUGCCCUUAGUGUCAUGCUUUAUUAAUGCGAUAUGACUCAUAUUAGUGACUGCUUGUUCUUGAGCCAUAUGCCCUGAAUAAGUUAUUGGGUUUCACUGUUUACCCUAAGUUUAAAAAAAAAUUCCAUGCGCUCUGACCUCGUGACACCUAAACCCUGCUCAUGCAGUUAAAACAGGAAAACUAGUUAUCUGAUAUCAUGAAGGCAAAUCAGCUUGUAGAAGCCCUCAGAUGUUUCCAUUCCCACUGGUGGGAGGGCAUUGUGGGAGCCAUGGAUUAUUCAUCAAGAAAGCACAGGAGAGAAUUUCUUUUUUGUUUGUUGAUUUCCAAAGUAAACCCAAGUAU
Molecule: long non-coding RNA, 832 nt
Filed under: Bos taurus (domestic cattle)
Lineage: Eukaryota; Metazoa; Chordata; Mammalia; Artiodactyla; Bovidae
Description: long non-coding RNA NONBTAT012785
Source: RNAcentral